UUAAAGCAAUAUCAUAAAUGCAAACAUAUGUGCACAUUAUUAAAUGUGCACAUUUAAUAAUGUGCACAUUAUUUUUUUAAUAAUGUGCACAUUAUUUAAAAAAAUUUGCACUUUUUUUAAUAAUGUGUUUUUGAUGGGAUUGGUUUGGUAUUGUGCAAAUCAGAAGAGUCAGGGCUUAUAGAUUUGAUCUGAUGCUGUCAGCUGCAGAAGAAGAAAAACUCCCAUCAGAUUCAUUCAACACCUUCAUGUUCUCUGUAGCUCUGCUGCUGCUGCUGUGAGUCUCUCUACGAUAGAAACAUUUAAUGGAUGAAUAAACUGAAAUGAAUCUGCAUUGUUGCUAACAACUGAGUUUUACUGUGUUUUUCCCCAGGUGGAAGUGUGAACAACUGACACAGCCAGACUGAGGCUGUGCAGCCAGGUCAACGUCUGACCAUCAGCUGUCAGGAGGAGGAGUCAAUGCAAAUACUGAACGCUCCACUUUUACAUGUCUGUUAGUUUAAGAGCAGCAGUGAAUUAGUGGUGAACACAGAAUGAACAGAGACAAAUGGCUUCUACAAUGAUUAGAUUUAAUGGUCUCCUUGCCUUAAUUAUUUUGUCUGCAAACUGGAGUGGAACUAAUGGUCAAACAUUGACUGAGUCUGAAUCAGUGGUUAAAAGGCCUGGAGACUCUCACAGACUGACCUGCACAUAUUCUGGGCUUGGCAAUCCUCACAUGCACUGGGUCAGACAGGCAGCUGGAAAAGGACCGGAAUGGAUCGCUUAUAUCUGGUAUGACAGCGGUGGCAUCUACUACUCUGACUCAGUAAGAGGCCGGUUCACCAUCUCCAGAGACAACAGCAGAAAUCAGGUGUAUCUGCAGAUGAAC
Non-coding RNA from Poecilia reticulata (guppy), 865 nucleotides. The record is from RefSeq and is a predicted model, not a curated record. NCBI's taxonomy places the organism in Eukaryota, Metazoa, Chordata, Actinopteri, Cyprinodontiformes, Poeciliidae.